UGAGGAAUAUUGGUCAAUGGACGAGAGUCUGAACCAGCCAUGUAGCGUGCAGGAUGACGGCCCUAUGGGUUGUAAACUGCUUUUGUUUGGGAAUAAUCGACAUUACGUGUAAUGUUUUGCAUGUACCAUUCGAAUAAGGACCGGCUAAUUCCGUGCCAGCAGCCGCGGUAAUACGGAAGGUCCAGGCGUUAUCCGGAUUUAUUGGGUUUAAAGGGUGUGUAGGCGGUUGGUUAAGCGUGUUGUGAAAUGUAGAUGCUCAACAUCUGACUUGCAGCGCGAACUGGCUGACUUGAGUACACACAACGUAGGCGGAAUUCAUGGUGUAGCGGUGAAAUGCUUAGAUAUCAUGAAGAACUCCGAUUGCGAAGGCAGCUUACGGGAGUGUUACUGACGCUUAAGCUCGAAGGUGCGGGUAUCGAACAGG
Molecule: ribosomal RNA, 424 nt
Filed under: Verrucomicrobiota bacterium
Lineage: Bacteria; Pseudomonadati; Verrucomicrobiota
Description: Verrucomicrobia bacterium partial 16S ribosomal RNA
Rfam family: Bacterial small subunit ribosomal RNA
Source: RNAcentral